CAGCAGCCACGGUAAUACAGAGGGUGCGAGCGUUAAUCGGAAUUACUGGGCGUAAAGGGCGCGUAGGCGGUUAGGAAGGUGUGAUGUGAAAGCCCUGGGCUUAACCUAGGAAGUGCAUCGCAAACCAACUAGCUGGAGUAUAAGAGAGGGUGGCGGAAUUUCUGGUGUAGCGGUGAAAUGCGUAGAGAUCGGAAGGAACGUCAAUGGCGAAGGCAGCCACCUGGCUUAAUACUGACGCUGAGGCGCGAAAGCGUGGGGAGCGAACAGGAUUAGAUACCCCCGUAGUCCCUGUCUCUUAUAA
RNAcentral lists this ribosomal RNA (301 nucleotides) under uncultured bacterium. RNAcentral's name for it is "partial 16S ribosomal RNA". It matches the Rfam family "Bacterial small subunit ribosomal RNA", at positions 509 to 809 of the family's 1533-position model. The record is from RNAcentral.